Molecule: ribosomal RNA, 660 nt
Filed under: Dermocybe sp. PDD 95818
Lineage: Eukaryota; Fungi; Basidiomycota; Agaricomycetes; Agaricales; Cortinariaceae
Description: eukaryotic LSU rRNA
Rfam family: 5.8S ribosomal RNA (bases 274-427)
Source: RNAcentral
AAGGUUUCCGUAGGUGAACCUGCGGAAGGAUCAUUAUUGAAAUAAACCUGAUGAGUUGCUGCUGGUUCCCUAAAGAACAUGUGCACACUUGUCAUUUUUAUAUCUCCACCUGUGCACCUUUUGUAGACCUGGAUAACUUUCUGAAUGCUAGUCAUUCAGGCUUGAGGAUUGACUUUUUGUCUCUCCUUACAUUUCCAAGUCUAUGUUUCUUAUAUACCCCAAUCUAUGUUAUAGAAUGUAAACAAAUGGGCGUUUACGCCUAUAAACCUAUACAACUUUCAGCAACGGAUCUCUUGGCUCUCGCAUCGAUGAAGAACGCAGCGAAAUGCGAUAAGUAAUGUGAAUUGCAGAAUUCAGUGAAUCAUCGAAUCUUUGAACGCACCUUGCGCUCCUUGGUAUUCCGAGGAGCAUGCCUGUUUGAGUGUCAUUAAUAUAUAUCAACCUCUUCAGCUUUUGCUUGUUGAGUGUUUGGAUGUGGGGGUUGUUUGCUGGUCUCUUUUYGAGGUCAGCUCCCCUGAAAUGCAUUAGCGAAACAAUUUGUUGAACGCUCAUUGGUGUGAUAACUAUCUACGCUAUUGACGUGAGGCAGUUUAGCUUCUAACAGUCCAUUGACUUGGAUAAUUUUUUCAUUAAUGUGACCUCAAAUCAGGUAGGACUACC